Molecule: ribosomal RNA, 508 nt
Filed under: bacterium UASWS0097
Lineage: Bacteria
Description: bacterial SSU rRNA
Rfam family: Bacterial small subunit ribosomal RNA
Source: RNAcentral
CUAGCCCUUAACCUUAUAAUGCAGGGCAAGGGUAAUCUCGUAAGCCUUGGUAUCCCGAGGUUAGCGGCGGACGGGUGAGUAACACGUGGGUAACCUGCCCAUAAGACUGGGAUAACUCCGGGAAACCGGGGCUAAUACCGGAUAACAUUUUGAACUGCAUGGUUCGAAAUUGAAAGGCGGCUUCCGCUGUCACUUAUGGAUGGACCCGCGUCGCAUUAGCUAGUUGGUGAAGUUACGGCUCACCAAUGCAACCAUUCCUAACCCAACUGAAAAGGGGAAUGGCCACUUUGGGACUUGAACCCCGUCCCAAAUUCUUACGGAAGGCAGCAGUUGGGAAUCUCCCCGAUUGAACGAAGGUCUGACGGACCAACGCCCCGUCAGUGAUGAAGGCUUUCCGGUCGUAAAACUCUGUUGUUAGGGAAGAACAAGUGCUACCUUGAAUAAGCUGGCCCCUUGACGGAACCUAACCAGAAAGCCACGGCUAACUACGUGCCAGCAGCCGCGGGUA